Daphnia magna is the source of this 1995-nucleotide long non-coding RNA. RefSeq lists it as uncharacterized. The record is from RefSeq and is a predicted model, not a curated record. The transcript has 10 exons. Lineage: Eukaryota; Metazoa; Arthropoda; Branchiopoda; Diplostraca; Daphniidae.
CCUUAUAACUGUCAAUACAUUGCAGUCAGUGCAGAAGGCUGUAUAACAGUCACUAAACAUAGUAAACAUGCUCGACAACAACAAUAACAAUAUCGAGAAGAAGAACAGCAAAGUUUAUUGGAAGUUGCUGCUAGAAAACAGAGAUUCGUAGAACGCAGAAUGAUAGGUGUUGGCAAGAUCAUGCUCGAAGAUGAAUCCACCAUCUGUGAAGACAUGCUUAAUGCUUUGGAUGUUAGUGGUCUCCAAGCAAAGCCAGCUGCUUUAAAUGAUUACAAUUUCAAGGCACCUAACUGAAGUCCAUUGGCAAUAGACAAUCAAAGAACAGCCAUUCUUGAACUUCUCAAAAAAGAAAAUGUCAUCAUUGUUAAGGGCUUUAACGGUUGUGGUAAAACCACUCAAGUUCCCCAAUUUGUUUUAGAUGAAUGCUACCGAACCAAAACUCCUUGCAACAUUGUUGUGACUCAACCAAGGCGCAUUGCAGCCAUUAGCAUAGCCAAAAGGGUCUGCUAUGAAAGAAAUUGGACAUUGGGAACCGUUGUUGGAUACAGAGUUGGCAUGGAACAUCAAGUAAGUGAAUCAAUUUUGCUCACCUAUCUGACCACAGGAUGCCUUCUUGAAGCAUUAGUAGCCAAAAAAUCCCUUGAAGGCUAUACCCACAUCAUUAUUGACGAAGUACACGAGAGGGAUGAAGAUACUGACUUCCUUCUCUUGGUCGUCCGCAAGUUCCUCCGUCAUACGAGGACGACAACUAAAGUCUUUCUGAUGUCAGUUACUUUUGAUGCCGACAAAUUUGGCCAAUAUUUCAAUAGCCCCGUCAUUGGAAACUUUCCGUUCACGUCCAAAAGACCAUUUCGCAACGGUCCCAUAAUUGAAGUGGAGCACGGUGAACCUCACGACAUACGCGUUUACUAUAGUGAACAUCUUCAAAAACUAGAGUUUCUAGGGGGAGUAUGAACUACCCCUAUGCUAUGCCUAAUGUUUCAGAGUUUUUUUAAGUGGAAUCUAAUCUUAUCAAUCCGUCAAAACCGUGCUCGUUAUUAUUUUAAUUUUGUAACCUCUCCAAGGUAUGAAUCACUCAAUCAAACUCAGUGGCAGUUUCAUCCAAAUGGCGUUAUUUCAAACAACCUCUGUGGCGUACCAGAAACUGAAAAGUCGAUGAAUUUCGUCUCUAGUGAAAAUAGUCGAUUUGCGGGAAUCACAAGCAGGCACAUUACUGUGAAAGAUAACUAUGCUGCUUAUUUUAAGAUCAGAACAUCGUGUGGAAUAACGCCGUGUCAUGCGAACAAUAACAGAAGCCAAGUAAGAUUUCAAAUGAGGCAAGGAUAUGAACAGCCUUCAUGGUCCUUGUCAAAACCCAACUGUUUGCCAAGUUCAACGGAUUCGUUGUGCGAUCCUCAGAUGUAUCAUAGUUCUUCUGCAUUAGCAUUUGGCAACUUCCCGACUUGGCAGCGGGUCAUCAUCUCACUCAAAUCGAUAACAUUCGCCAAGCGAUAAAACGGCUCCCGUGGGUACACUUGAAGGAUGGGCAAAAUUGGAGGUAGGGAAGCCAAAAUUGCUUCAAAAAAAAAGCCCCAACCUUUCGGCUUUCUUAAUAGAGAAGGCUAUGGUUACAGGAGCUGGUCGUGACUUAAAAGAGCCAAGGUUUUGUCCGCAAGUGCUUCAAAUAUACCGUAGAGGCGCCUGGUGGUGGUUUGGAGCAAUAUAACAAAAUAAUUUCGCGCAAGUUUGUUUAAACAUUUGUAUUGAUGCUUACUUUUGACAAUACAUUUUUUUCCAUGAACAAAAGUUCUUGAAAGCUUUUUACUAGUUUUCAUAUGUCUUCUUUCUUUGGCUAGGUAAAAAUUACGAAAGGGUUUUGAUUUCGUAUGAAAUCUUAUGUGGAUAUAUUGCAGUAUUAUAUAUGGUAAUGACUCAUCAUACUUCAUGGAAUGUGAUCUUCCAGAUUUAGCUUGCAAUUCAGCUUUCCCCUUCAUAAUAAAGUUUAUUGGUCCAAUA